UACCGAUCUGCUACACAACCCGGCAGGAGGCUCCUGGUUAACAUUCUGACAGCGCUGCUCAGGUUGUGAUACUCACUGCUGCUGCUGAUGUGGUUCUUUGAGGCGGAUGUUGGCUGGGUGCAAUGCGGACAAACGUCGCCAGCCCAGGAAGCACUGGAUGGGUUUUGACAAUGUUCAGGGCAUGGAUGAUGCCAAGCAGAAGCUUGUCAAGGUGAAUAUGGUCUCUCUACUUCUCACUCAUGAUUGUGUUUCUGUGAUGUUGAUGAUAUGCCGAGAUUCAAUGCUGAUCCGGAAGUGUCCAGAACUUCCCCAAAUGCAUGAUAGUUAGUUGUUAUAAAUGUUGGCGUGAGUUGCCUAGAGAUCCGCCACUGAGAGAGCUGCGUUUGUUUCACCCGAAACUUGCCCAACUCGGGAUAGGUAGUAGCUAGCGAUACUGAUGCGAGUUGCCCCAAGAUUUUUUUAGCAACAAUUUUAUUUUAAUUUGCAUAAAAGCUGUUAUUUCCAAUAGGUUUUGUUCUUGUAUUUUAGGAGAACAUUGGGGCCUGGAAUAUGGAUCAUAGGUGCUCACAUAUAGAUAACCAAUGUGUAUGACGUGUCUCCUAGGUUGUUGAUUUGAUUAGUGUUGUACUCGCUCCGUUCCAAAAUGUAAGACCACUUUUGACACGACGAUAGUGUCAAAAAUGAUCUUACAUUUUGGGACGGAGGGAGUAGUAGUUAAAAACAUUUUGCAUUUUUAAAUUGGAGAUAUACCAGGAAGUAGAGGGUUGAUUAUAGUACCUUUUUUAUGUACUGAAUGUAGUUUUUGUACCUUUUUUUUAUGCAUUUGAGUUCCAGCCAGAAAGUAUGCUUUCUUUCUAGUCAACGACUUUGCACUAACUUGCCUAUAAUGCGAGAAAGUUGCCUACAAUAAAUUUUCUAGUAUCUAUGGGAGAUUUGUGAGUAGUUCUAUGUUGAAUUAUGUGUUUGAUCAGGGGAAUUUCACAUUGGUUUGAUUUUUGUGUUAGUAUAUGCACUAUGCUAUAUAAAGUGUUCAAGACUUGCCCAACUCAUGAUAGUUAGUUGCUAGAAAUGUUGGCGCAAGUUGCCCAGAGAUCCGCUCCUGAGAGUGUUGGGUUUUAUUUCACCCAGAACUUUAAGCUUUAAAACUUGCCCAACACAUAAUAGUUAUUUGCUAGAGAUGCUGGAGCGAGUUGCCCAGACAUAUUUUUUAGCAAUAAAUUGAUUUUCAUUUUCACAUUGCUAUUUCCAAUAGAAUAAAUUGCCUACAUAUACACAUUAUUUGCCUCAUAAUGCCGGAUAGUUGCCUACAAUAAAUUUGAGAGUAGUUCUGUGUUGAGUUAUGUAUAUGAUCAGGGAGAUUUCACAUUAAUUGUGCUAUAUAAGCUCACCGCACCAAUAAUUAUGUUAUAGGUUGCCUUACUGUAAUGCCAAGUUGCCUUAGUUAUGAUAGUUAGUUGCCCAGAGAUCGGCGACAUAUGUGGGGUGACGAUUUUGAGCUGGAAGUGUUCAAAACUUGCCCAACUCAUGAUAGUUACUUGCUAGAAAUGCUUGCGCGAGUUGCCUCGAGAUCCGCCACCGAGAGUGCUGGGUUUUAUUUCGCCCAAAACUUUAAACUUUAAAACUUGCCCAACACAUGAUAGUUAUUUGCUAGAGAUGCUGGUGCAAGUUGCCCAGAGAUAUUUUUUAGCAACAAAUUGAUUUAAUUUUCACAUUGCUAUUCCAACAGAAUAAAUUGUCUACAUAUAAAUAUUACUUGCCUAGAUCACCUAACUUUCGUAUAUAUUUUGUUAUCCACUAAUUUGAUACACCGAAAUAACUUCUUUAGGUCCACCAAACAAGCAGAACAUUUUCGGUUGUAGCAUAAUCAACACCAUCAGUUUCUGGUACAAGGCAUGUCUAUGUGGUCACCUUCAGCAGCUCCUUGCUCCUCGGCUUCCACCCCAUCAUGGCUAGUCCGUCGUUGCAGUACAAGACGGAGUUGUCUGAAUAACAAUCACUAGUUGUCUGGUACAAGAUGAAAGUUGCGUAAACAACAACCACUAAUAGCAAUGGGAUACUCGCUAGUCAUAUUAGGCAACUUAAAUAUGAUGUUAGGAUACUCGCUAGUCAUGUUAGGCAACUUAGAGAUGAUGUUAUGCAACUUUAAAAACGACAUGAUGUGUUUCCUAACUUUUGCUUCAUGCGUUGCAGGAAGGGGGCACAACACCAUGGAGGGGUUGGGAGGGUGGGUGGGUACUCAGUAGUACAUAGUUACCCAACUAUAGCUCACAAGAUGUCGGACAAAAAGGCAACCACAAACGAAUGAGAAUGUAGCUAAAGAAGGCCAGAGAAAGGAGCACCUGUAGUUAAAUUGCUCUCAUAGCGGUUCGUCAUGAAUCUCUUCUCUUUUGGGCGGGAUUACUUGGUGCGAGCAGAGAUACUUGGAGAGUGAUGCAACCAACGGACGGUUCUGCUUAGUGACGAAGCUGAUCACCUCCCAGCUGGCAUCCUUUAGCUUAACAAUGAAUGGUUUCUCUCACAUAGAUUUGAAAUAUGUGUUCUCACAGUAACAAAAUAUCCUAUUUUUUAUUCUAAUGUCUUGUUUCUUAUGCAGAAGGUACGAUCGAUAGGCCCGGAUUGGUGAGGAUCAAUUACCCAAACAUACAUGGACACCCCAAAGGCGCCUGCACUACUGGACCUCCUUUUCUUUCUUUUUUGUAAACUCGGGAGCUUCUAAGUUGCACAUGACUGAUGCAUAAGUCGCACAAAAGUGUCCAUAGAGUUGCCUGUCCGAACCAUUUUUGUGUUGCUGUACAUUUGCCCUCAUCUUUCUACAUGUACAUGUAACUCUCUUUGUUUUCCCUUUUCCUAACUCUCUUUGUUGCCUCUGAUGUACACAAAACUCGCUUAAAUACACACCGGAGUUGCUUACCAGUAGCAACUCCUUUGAUCACCUAUAAGAGUUGCAGCUAGACCUGUCCCACCGAGCCACUGAUGCUUUGUCCUUUUAAAGUUGCUUUUAAAUCAGGAAGAAAAGCCACCCAAAUUUCCCAACAAUCUCUUCAGAGCGCCACUGAUGAAUGGAUUUUUUGAGUGAUUUUGUGGCCUUGCGUUGAGAGAGAGCGGACGUGGGGGAGUCUGUUUAUGUGAGGCCACGCUUGCGGAGGGGGCACGUGUACCUUUUUGGGACAUAAC
This 3174-nucleotide long non-coding RNA is filed under the name Triticum aestivum (bread wheat). Its description in RNAcentral is "long non-coding RNA (TAES_LNC025309)". The record is from RNAcentral. Lineage: Eukaryota; Viridiplantae; Streptophyta; Magnoliopsida; Poales; Poaceae.